This 253-nucleotide ribosomal RNA is filed under the name uncultured bacterium. RNAcentral's name for it is "partial 16S ribosomal RNA". It matches the Rfam family "Bacterial small subunit ribosomal RNA", at positions 524 to 776 of the family's 1533-position model. The record is from RNAcentral.
UACAGAGGGUGCGAGCGUUAAUCGGAAUUACUGGGCGUAAAGCGUGCGUAGACGGUAGCGUAAGUCAGAUGUGAAAGCCCCGGGCACAACCUGGGAAUUGCAUUUGAGACUGCUCUGCUCGGGUGCGGAAGAGGGAAGCGGAAUUUCCGGUGUAGCGGUGAAAUGCGUAGAUAUCGGAAGGAACACCAGUGGCGAAAGCGGCUUCCUGGUCCGACACCGACGUUCAGGCACGAAAGCGUGGGGAGCACACAGG